GUUUGAUCCUGGCUCAGAUUGAACGCUGGCGGCAGGCCUAACACAUGCAAGUCGAGCGGUAGCACAGAGAGCUUGCUCUCGGGUGACGAGCGGCGGACGGGUGAGUAAUGUCUGGGAAACUGCCUGAUGGAGGGGGAUAACUACUGGAAACGGUAGCUAAUACCGCAUAACGUCGCAAGACCAAAGUGGGGGACCUUCGGGCCUCAUGCCAUCAGAUGUGCCCAGAUGGGAUUAGCUAGUAGGUGGGGUAACGGCUCACCUAGGCGACGAUCCCUAGCUGGUCUGAGAGGAUGACCAGCCACACUGGAACUGAGACACGGUCCAGACUCCUACGGGAGGCAGCAGUGGGGAAUAUUGCACAAUGGGCGCAAGCCUGAUGCAGCCAUGCCGCGUGUGUGAAGAAGGCCUUCGGGUUGUAAAGCACUUUCAGCGGGGAGGAAGGCGAUAAGGUUAAUAACCUUGUCGAUUGACGUUACCCGCAGAAGAAGCACCGGCUAACUCCGUGCCAGCAGCCGCGGUAAUACGGAGGGUGCAAGCGUUAAUCGGAAUUACUGGGCGUAAAGCGCACGCAGGCGGUCUGUCAAGUCGGAUGUGAAAUCCCCGGGCUCAACCUGGGAACUGCAUUCGAAACUGGCAGGCUAGAGUCUUGUAGAGGGGGGUAGAAUUCCAGGUGUAGCGGUGAAAUGCGUAGAGAUCUGGAGGAAUACCGGUGGCGAAGGCGGCCCCCUGGACAAAGACUGACGCUCAGGUGCGAAAGCGUGGGGAGCAAACAGGAUUAGAUACCCUGGUAGUCCACGCCGUAAACGAUGUCGAUUUGGAGGUUGUGCCCUUGAGGCGUGGCUUCCGGAGCUAACGCGUUAAAUCGACCGCCUGGGGAGUACGGCCGCAAGGUUAAAACUCAAAUGAAUUGACGGGGGCCCGCACAAGCGGUGGAGCAUGUGGUUUAAUUCGAUGCAACGCGAAGAACCUUACCUGGUCUUGACAUCCACAGAACUUUCCAGAGAUGGAUUGGUGCCUUCGGGAACUGUGAGACAGGUGCUGCAUGGCUGUCGUCAGCUCGUGUUGUGAAAUGUUGGGUUAAGUCCCGCAACGAGCGCAACCCUUAUCCUUUGUUGCCAGCGGUUAGGCCGGGAACUCAAAGGAGACUGCCAGUGAUAAACUGGAGGAAGGUGGGGAUGACGUCAAGUCAUCAUGGCCCUUACGACCAGGGCUACACACGUGCUACAAUGGCAUAUACAAAGAGAAGCGACCUCGCGAGAGCAAGCGGACCUCAUAAAGUAUGUCGUAGUCCGGAUUGGAGUCUGCAACUCGACUCCAUGAAGUCGGAAUCGCUAGUAAUCGUAGAUCAGAAUGCUACGGUGAAUACGUUCCCGGGCCUUGUACACACCGCCCGUCACACCAUGGGAGUGGGUUGCAAAAGAAGUAGGUAGCUUAACCUUCGGGAGGGCGCUUACCACUUUGUGAUUCAUGACUGGGGUGAAGUCGUAACAAGGUAACCGUAGGGGAACCUGCGGCUGGAUCACCUCCUUU
RNAcentral lists this ribosomal RNA (1530 nucleotides) under Klebsiella pneumoniae. Its description in RNAcentral is "16S ribosomal RNA". It matches the Rfam family "Bacterial small subunit ribosomal RNA". RNAcentral also lists the same sequence under 2 other names. Lineage: Bacteria; Pseudomonadati; Pseudomonadota; Gammaproteobacteria; Enterobacterales; Enterobacteriaceae. The record is from RNAcentral.